AAAACAUAGUCCGUACGACUAGCGUUGAUUUCUGGUCGUUAUACCUAACUCGGAUGCGCCGAACAUAAUGUUAUGGUGCAACAAAUAUGCGAGUGUAAUUUUUCCAAUUUAAACUCCGUGUACAUAUUCGUGAAAACCGGGGGCCGGGGGUGGGAGAUUUUGAAAAUGCAUAGUCGCGCGUUUAUGACGAACUCAAUGAUGAAUCGAGGUAAUAGUAUAAUACGACACGAUAAUUUUUUUCUCGAUUGAACGGUGGUGAGGAGGAGGAGAUCG
This is a non-coding RNA of Cinara cedri, 273 nucleotides long. The record is from the annotation of a GenBank genome assembly. NCBI's taxonomy places the organism in Eukaryota, Metazoa, Arthropoda, Insecta, Hemiptera, Aphididae.